RNAcentral lists this ribosomal RNA (230 nucleotides) under uncultured bacterium. RNAcentral describes it as "partial 16S ribosomal RNA". It matches the Rfam family "Bacterial small subunit ribosomal RNA", at positions 562 to 791 of the family's 1533-position model. The record is from RNAcentral.
AAAGGGCGCGUAGGCGGAAUGCUUUGUCGGGCGUGAAAUUCCAGGGCUUAACCUUGGGGCUGCGUUCGAGACGGGUAUUCUAGAGUGGAGAAGAGGGUCGUGGAAUUCCCAGUGUAGAGGUGAAAUUCGUAGAUAUUGGGAAGAACACCGGUGGCGAAGGCGGCGACCUGGUCUUUUACUGACGCUGAGGCGCGAAAGCGUGGGGAGCAAACAGGAUUAGAUACCCUAGU